Molecule: non-coding RNA, 2921 nt
Organism: Camellia sinensis
Lineage: Eukaryota; Viridiplantae; Streptophyta; Magnoliopsida; Ericales; Theaceae
Source: RefSeq, a predicted model, not a curated record
AAAUUUUAAAAAUUGGACUUCACAUUUUGGGGGGCAAAAUUAAUUUGCUGCUAAAUAUUUCGUCGGAGAAAAGCCUUUAUUUAUUAUGGGCGACUAAAAGAGUUAGUCGGGAAAGAAAAUAAACUAGGUUUAAGAAAUACACUUCCACACGCUCUAUCUCUCUCAUACAUCUCUGUCUGUCUCUGCUCUCCUCCCGCUCUCUCUGUCUUUCUCUCUCUCGCUAGCUUUUGUCUCCAUCGUUAACGGAGCAUCACCGCCAUCGCACACGAGCACCACCUUCAAUCCACUAUUGGAGCAUUACCCCAGGUAUGUCCUCUCUAUAGUCUCUAUUCCUCUAAUUUCAGCCUCUAGGGUUUUCUUCUUCCGUUUGCAUACCUUCACCCAACCCCAACCCCAAAUCGACCCAUGUUAAGGUUGAGGCAUCUAUUCAUUCAUUGUUCUUGGAUAUGGAGGAUAUGGGUUGAAUUACUAGAAUAGUGGAAUGUUCACUUGGUUACACCAUAAUCUUUUUCAAAUUUGUCACACUGGGGGUUUGGGUUUAAAUUUGGGAAGCUGGAAAAGAAGAUGUGGAGGCCAUGGUUUGGUCAAUUUGGAAGGCUCAUUAAGUAUGUUUGUUUUUUUUCUAACUACUGCUCUUGCUUGUUUGUUUUUCUCUACCUACUGCUCUUACUUGGCCUGUUUCGUCCAUGCUUGUAUUUGUUGUUGUCUUCUGACCCUUUUGCUCACCAUUUGUUUGACAAAAUGUUCAAAUGAAACCGAACAAUGCUCAUGUGUUUGACAUCUGUUUAUGAGGUUUGGUAGUGCCCAGAUUGAAUUUAAUUGUUUUUUUCAAUUACCUGUUCAUGAGCUCUUAUUAGGUGCAAUUUCAGUUUGAGAUUGAAUUUCAUUUUUUUUGAAUGUUUGGGCCUAAUUCAUUUUUUUCAUUUUCAUUUAUGAGCUCUGUACAUCCAGGCACUGCUUUGGGCCUAAUUCGAAUUUUCUCCACUAGUUGCUUUUCUUCUUUAAUCCACAACAUGUUGCUGAUUUCUCUGCUCUUGUGGAGACAUGCCGAUUACUUCAAUAGUUUGUUCAAGAAGGUGGUGCGUCUAAUCAGUCUUCCUUCUUAAUGAAACCACUUAUUAAUGUUAUUUGAUGUUAGUAAAUGCACGUGACUUUCAUAAUGGCCCUCCUCAACAUACUUAAUGAGGCCUAAGUUGUUAAAUCAUUCUUAGUAUAGGGAGGGACCCCCUGCUCUCCCCUGCAAAUACCCCCAAACCAUAAACCCCCCAAUUUUUUUUUUUUAGUUUUGUACAAAAUAAUUCAAUUUAAAAGUUGAUACUUUUAAAUUUUUGAAAAUAAAAUAAAUGUUAAAUCAUCAUGUUCCUUUAUAGAUAAUUAUAAAUGUCGAUUGAGGUGAAACGUCACUAUUAGACAAUUCUCAUAUAUCAAGUGUGAAAUUGAAGAAAAGAGUCACGCUUAAUGCCAAUUUAGUUAGGAUAAUAGUGAUCUUUGUUAGUUUAAGGUUGUAGGAAUAUAUGUUAGAAAUAAUCUAAGCAAAUUAACGAGUAGAGUUAGAAAGAAAAAAGUUAUUAAAAAUAGUCAAAUCCUAAUAAUAAGAGAAAUGUUUGGAGGACGUUCAGUGAAUAAAAAUUAUAUUAUUUCUGUAAACUCUUGUUUAUUUUUUUUUUAUUCUCUCUAAGUUUUUCUAACUUGGACAUUGGAAUGCUUCCAAUCAGGUAAUACAUUAACCACGACGAAAGUGUUCUAUUGACUUUGCUUGCUAUCAUCAUCAAUCCAUCAUCAUGAUGAAUUUUUGCCCACAAAAAUAUACUCAGCCUCUCACAUUUCACACAUUAAAGAGAAUUAAAUAAAUUAAAUUGUCUAAUUUGUAAAUGAGCUAAAAGUAAAAUGGCCCAAUUCAUUUUUUUGAGACACCCAAAUGGGCCUUAAUGAAGUUCGUAGUGAUUUUGCUUUUAUGAGUUCCAUCGAAUCGUAAAAAUCUUCUUGGAACGACCAAAGAUUCUAUCUUCUAAAAGGAGUUCCAAACUUCCAAUUGAUUUUUUUUAGUUUCUAUUUCAAUGUCUCUGGUAGUGCUUAUUUAUUUAUUUUUUAUUAUUGUUAUUUUAAAAGUUGUUUGAUAAAGUUAAAUAGUCCUGAGUCCAUGUCCAUUGGAAAAAUUAUUGCUUCUCCAAUGAAUGUUAUUGUCAAAAAUUAAGAUCAAGGCCAAAUUGGAACUCUCGAAAGACUAGAUAAACAUUGUGUCGUAUUUUAGAAUUACUAAGUUUUGUGCCAAAUUCGAUACAAGAUUUAGCUACAAUGUGUAAAAUAAGUUACGAGUUUGCUAUGGGAAUUGUGGAAAUGAUAGUUAAAUUUUCUCAUUUGAGUAAAUUUGUGUGAAUUUAGGAGGGAGGUUGGUGUAUCAGAGCACCAAGAAGAGGGCCAGUGGACCCAAAUGUUCACUUUCCCAGAGCAGCAAGAAUUAUAUAGGCCAUGGGUUGCAUGAGUUCUAAAAGGGUAAUCUAUGUGACCCCACGUCCAACUCAAAGCUAUGGUGGUCACCCUCUAGAGCCAAAAAGGAAGUUUGAGAACAUAGAAGAGCUUUGUUUUGAUUUUGAGAAAGUGAUGCAAAAGUGGGGGCAAUGACUAAGCCAGUAUAGCAAUCCAUGGUUAUUAAGGCAAGUUGGUGUCUUUAGAAAGAAAGGUACUAAACUAUAUGAAGCAAGCUUGAAGGAUGAGAAGCCUUUAGAUCAAUGGCUUCAUUGUUAAAUUAAGCAAGUGUUUUAGUUAAUAAAUUUAAUUUUUCCAUCAUGUUUACACCUUCAAAAUAUUUUGUAAAUGACAUUUGAUGUAGAAUUUUGUGUAUAGAGGACAUCUUUUUUGUAUGAUUCUGUGUUUGUAUGGAAUUAUUAUUUUGGGUUGGAUUGUAUUUGAUUUGCAUAGAA